RNAcentral lists this long non-coding RNA (1126 nucleotides) under Zonotrichia albicollis (white-throated sparrow). Its description in RNAcentral is "lncRNA (ENSZALG00000000578.1)". Lineage: Eukaryota; Metazoa; Chordata; Aves; Passeriformes; Passerellidae. The record is from RNAcentral.
CUAUUCUUCCCCUGUUGUCUGCAGUCCCUGUGAACUGUCUGUGGACAUACCAUCCAUAGCAUCUCCCAAGCAGGUGCUUGGUGAUACAAAGAUGCGAUUGUGCCUGUUUUAAAGUCUGGGCCCAUGUGGAGGACAGAUUCAAGGGGAACAGAGGAAGAACAUGAGAUGCAGCCCAACGAGAAAUCUGCCAUGUGGUGUGGGAUCUCCUGUUUUUUCUGCAGUACACACAUGUAUUACAGUAUUACUGCGACCUGAGGAGGUCUUCAGCUGGUGUUAUUGUUCCAGGUGUUUCUGAGCAAAGAAGAAAACAAUUACAUGCAGGGUUCCUUGCUUUAAGCCCUGCUACCCCUGUUCCAGAGUCUGCAAGAAAGCCAGAAGCUGUGCAUCUUCUCUGGAGAGGGCAACAGUCACCAGGUUUAAAGACAGAGACAGGCCUUUUGUGGGACUUUCAAGGACCUGGUAUGAGUUGCAGAACUCUGCAUUGACUCUGAAGCUUCUAUAAAACCCACUGCCAGCAUUUUGUACAAGUUUUUUUUUUUUUGAUUCAGAGGAGGCUUGCAUGUGGUGUAACACGAUGGGUAAACCCAGGCACUUCAUGGAUGUGAUACCUGUGUGAGGAGGGUGUUUUGAGCCUCCUUUGAGUGAAGAAUACUGUAGUGCUGCCCUAGUGCCAGGCUGACCAUGCCAUCUAGCAGAACAUGCUGCAAGGGAGCCCAUCUCCUCAACUUUGCCAGAACCUUUGUGCUCCCUGCUGGGAUAGGUGUCACAGAGGGCUAUGCCAGCUAUAUGCAUGGUGGGGGACUUAGGUUCCACAUAGUAACGUGAAAAAAAGGAGAAGCUUUUAGGUAUGAAUGAAGAAGAUUCAUUAAUUUGUUUUGUAAUGUAUCAACUGAGCUCAAACGAGGGGCUUUUUUUCUUGUAGUGUAUAAAAAUAGCAAAAUAUGGUUUCAUUUCUAAAUGAGGUAUCAUUUGUGCAAUGGAAUUUUACAUUGUCAAGUACUUGUAGGAUUAAAAAUCCUUUUUCUUUCCACAUUGAGAGAUUUUGCUGUUUGAAACCAAAUCACAGACUGCUGUAGUAGUUCCAUUUUUAAUUUAUGUUUGUAUUUAUUGAUAUAUUUACUGUUCA